GUCUAUAGCCAUACCACCCUGAACGCACCCGAUCUCGUCUGAUCUUGAAAGCUAAGCAGGGUUGCUCCUGGUUAGUACUUGGAUGGGAGAUUGGUAGAGAGAUUAAUCAGAAGUCU
Vulpes vulpes (red fox) is the source of this 116-nucleotide ribosomal RNA. Lineage: Eukaryota; Metazoa; Chordata; Mammalia; Carnivora; Canidae. The record is from Ensembl.